CUUCCCAAAAUGGCCCAGCAUUUCUGAGAUUCAAAUCACCAGUUCUUCCAUAUAUGACCAGAGGGUGACAUAUCCAAGGAAAAUCUGAACUCUGUCUUGACUGAGCUACCCUGAGCCUACUACAUGCUGAUUGGCUUAGGCUAAGGGCUGUGAUACACUGACAUGUGCCACAAAAGUCAAAACUCAGUUCUUUGGAAGGAAACAGAUCAUCAUUUAAGACACAGAACCUGAUGGAUGAUUCUGGACGUUAAUGCUGUGGAGACACAAGAAAGGUGAAAACCCUUCACAACUCAUGAUCAAGGUUGUUCCCCUUGGAAGCUGUGUGAAUGACAUUGUCUGGGACACACGGGAGGAAGUGGUAGUGUCCCUCUUGGGCAAACAUUUUAAGCCAUGCCUCCUUCCUCCUGCUACUAGAAGGAAGUGCCACGAUGGAAUCUGUGAGCCUGGGUCCCAAUAUAAAGAGGUCCCAGCUGACCUGAGAUGACAGUGCAGCCUUCAUGAGAAGGAACUGUUUCUUAUUUUCAGCCACUGAGAUUUUGGUCUUGUUUGCUACUGCAGUGAGGAGGGCAUGGCAACCCACUCCAGUACUCUUGCCUGGAGAAUCCAAUGGGCAGAGCAGCCUGGUGGGCUGCAGUCCAUAGGGUCACACAGAGUCGGACACGACUGAAGUGAUUUAGCUUCAGCACUGUUACUGCAGCAUGACUUCACCUACCCUGUAGCGAGGGUCAUUUGCUAACAGCCGAAACUUCAAAUGUUGAAUCUGUGAAAUGCAAAGC
Molecule: long non-coding RNA, 776 nt
Filed under: Capra hircus (goat)
Lineage: Eukaryota; Metazoa; Chordata; Mammalia; Artiodactyla; Bovidae
Description: lncRNA (ENSCHIG00000002302.1)
Source: RNAcentral